This 440-nucleotide ribosomal RNA is filed under the name uncultured bacterium. Its description in RNAcentral is "partial 16S ribosomal RNA". It matches the Rfam family "Bacterial small subunit ribosomal RNA", at positions 338 to 795 of the family's 1533-position model. The record is from RNAcentral.
CCUACGGGCGGCAGCAGUGAGGUAUAUUGGUCAAUGGGGGAAACCCUGAACCAGCAACGCCGCGUGAGUGAAGACGGUUUUCGGAUUGUAAACCUCUGUCCUCUGGGAAGAUAAUGACGGUAGCAGAGGAGUAAGCUCCGGCUAACUACGUGCCAGCAGGCGCGGUAAUACGUAGGGAGCGAGCGUUGUGCGGAUUUACUGGGGGUAAAGGGUGCGGAGGCGGGUAAGCAAGUCAGAAGUGAAAUCCAUGGGCUUAACCGAUGAACUGCAUUUGAAACUGUUUGUCUUGAGUGAAGUAGAGGUAGGCAGAAUUCCCGGUGUAGCGGUGAAAUGCGUAGAGAUCGGGAGGAACACCAGUGGCGAAGGCGGCCUACUGGGCUUUAACUGACGCUGAAGCACGAAAGCGUGGGUAGCAAACAGGAUUAGAUACCCGUGUAGUC